Molecule: ribosomal RNA, 1403 nt
Filed under: Candidatus Blochmannia sayi (nom. nud.)
Lineage: Bacteria; Pseudomonadati; Pseudomonadota; Gammaproteobacteria; Enterobacterales; Enterobacteriaceae
Description: Candidatus Blochmannia sayi 16S ribosomal RNA
Rfam family: Bacterial small subunit ribosomal RNA
Source: RNAcentral
GGCGAGCGGCAAACGGGUGAGUAAAAUCUGGGGAUCUGCCCGAUGGAGGGGGACAACUAUUGGAAACGAUAGCUAAUACCGCAUAAAGUCGUAUAGUAUUGACCAAAGUAGGGGACCUUCGUAAGAAGGCCUUAUGCCGUUGGAUGAACCCAGAUAGGAUUAGCUAGUAGGUAGGGUAAUGGCCUACCUAGGUUACGAUCCUUAGCUGGUCUGAGAGGACGAUCAGCCACACUGGAACUGAGACACGGUCCAGACUCCUACGGGAGGCAGCAGUGGGGAAUAUUGCACAAUGGGGGAAACCCUGAUGCAGCUAUACCGUGUGUGUGAAGAAGGCCUUCGGGUUGUAAAGCACUUUCAAUGGGGAAGAAUUUGGCAUUGCUAAAACCGAUGUCAGUUGACGUUACCCAUAUAAGAAGCACCGGCUAACUCCGUGCCAGCAGCCGCGGUAAUACGGAGGGUGCAAGCGUUAAUCGGAAUUACUGGGCGUAAAGCGUACGCAGGUGGUUUAUUAAGUCAGGUGUGAAAUCCCUGAGCUCAACUUAGGAACUGCAUUUGAAACUGGUAAGCUAGAGUUUCGUAGAGGGGGGUAGAAUUCCAGGUGUAGCGGUGAAAUGCGUAGAGAUCUGGAGGAAUACCGGUGGCGAAGGCGACCCCCUAGACGAUAACUGACACUCAGGUACGAAAGCGUGGGGAGCAAACAGGAUUAGAUACCCUGGUAGUCCAUGCCGUAAACGAUGUCGAUUUGAAGGUCGUAGACUUUGAGCUGUGACUUUCGGAGCUAACGCGUUAAAUCGACCGCCUGGGGAGUACGACCGCAAGGUUAAAACUCAAAUGAAUUGACGGGGGCCCGCACAAGCGGUGGAGCAUGUGGUUUAAUUCGAUGCAACACGAAGAACCUUACCUACUCUUGACAUCCAAAGAAUCGCAUAGAAAUAUGAGAGUGCCUUCGGGAGCUUUGAGACAGGUGCUGCAUGGCUGUCGUCAGCUCGUGUUGUGAAAUGUUGGGUUAAGUCCCGCAACGAGCGCAACCCUUAUCCUUUGUUGCCAACGAGUUAAGUCGGGAACUCAAAGGAGACUGCCGGUGAUAAACCGGAGGAAGGUGAGGAUGACGUCAAGUCAUCAUGGCCCUUAUGAGUAGGGCUACAAACGUGCUACAAUGGCGUAUACAAAGAGAAGCGAUCUCGCGAGAGCCAGCAAACCUCACAAAGUACGUCUUAGUCCGGAUUGGAGUCUGCAACUCGACUCCAUGAAGUCGGAAUCGCUAGUAAUCGUGGAUCAGAAUGUCACGGUGAAUACGUUCCCGGGCCUUGUACACACCGCCCGUCACACCAUGGAAGUGGGUUGCAAAAGAAGCAAGUAGUUUAACCUUCGGGAGGGCACUUACCACUUUGUGAUUCAUGACU